GUAGGUGGCAAGCGUUGUCCGGAAUUAUUGGGCGUAAAGCGCGCGCAGGCGGUUCUUUAAGUCUGAUGUGAAAGCCCACGGCUCAACCGUGGAGGGUCAUUGGAAACUGGAGAACUUGAGUACAGAAGAGGAAAGCGGAAUUCCACGUGUAGCGGUGAAAUGCGUAGAGAUGUGGAGGAACACCAGUGGCGAAGGCGGCUUUCUGGUCUGUAACUGACGCUGAGGCGCGAAAGCGUGGGGAGCAAACAGGAUUAGAUACCCUGGUAGUCCACGCCGUAAACGAUGAGUGCUAAGUGUUAGGGGGGCUUCCGCCCCCUUAGUGCUGCAGCUAACGCAUUAAGCACUCCGCCCUGGGAGUACGGCCGCAAGGCUG
This 373-nucleotide ribosomal RNA is filed under the name uncultured organism. RNAcentral describes it as "partial 16S ribosomal RNA". It matches the Rfam family "Bacterial small subunit ribosomal RNA", at positions 527 to 896 of the family's 1533-position model. The record is from RNAcentral.